AUCUCAAUCGGGUUGAGGUCAGGACUCUGACUGGGCCACUUCAGAAGGUGUAUUUUCUUCUGUUUAAACCAUUCUGUUGUUGAUUUACUUCUAUGCUUUGGGUCAUUGUCCUGUUGCAACACCCAUCUUCUGUUGAGCUUCAGCUAGUAGACAGAUGGCCUUAAGUUCUCCUGCAAAAUGUCUUGAUAAACUUGGGAAUUCAUUUUUCCUUCGAUGAUAGCAAUCCGUCCAGGCCCUGACGCAGCAAAGCAGCCCCAAACCAUGAUG
Pelobates cultripes (western spadefoot toad) is the source of this 267-nucleotide non-coding RNA. The record is from the annotation of a GenBank genome assembly. NCBI's taxonomy places the organism in Eukaryota, Metazoa, Chordata, Amphibia, Anura, Pelobatidae.